AGAGUUUGAUCCUGGCUCAGGACGAACGCUGGCGGCGUGCUUUAUACAUGCAAGUCGAACGAUGAAGUUCCUUCGGGAAUGGAUUAGUGGCGAACGGGUGAGGAACACGUGAGAAACCUGCCUUUCAUUCUGGGAUAACACCGGGAAACCGGUGCUAAUACCGGAUACUCCAUCUUGGCGGCAUCGCCGAGCUGGGAAAAAAUUUUGAUGAAAGAUGGUCUCGCGGCCUAUCAGCUAGUUGGUGAGGUAAAGGCUCACCAAGGCGACGACGGGUAGCCGGCCUGAGAGGGCGACCGGCCACACUGGGACUGAGACACGGCCCAGACUCCUACGGGAGGCAGCAGUAGGGAAUAUUGGGCAAUGGGCGAAAGCCUGACCCAGCGACGCCGCGUGAGGGAUGAAGGUCUUCGGAUUGUAAACCUCUUUCAGUAGGGAAGAAGCGAAAGUGACGGUACCUAAAGAAGAAGCACCGGCUAACUAUGUGCCAGCAGCCGCGGUAAUACAUAGGGUGCAAGCGUUGUCCGGAAUUAUUGGGCGUAAAGAGCUCGUAGGUCGUUUGUCGCGUCGAUUGUGAAAAUCUGAGGCUCAACCUCAGACCUGCAGUCGAUACGGGCAAACUAGAGUGUGGUAGGGGAGACUGGAAUUCCUGGUGUAGCGGUGGAAUGCGCAGAUAUCAGGAGGAACACCAAUGGCGAAGGCAGGUCUCUGGGCCAUAACUGACACUGAGGAGCGAAAGUGCGGGGAGCGAACAGGAUUAGAUACCCUGGUAGUCCGCACCGUAAACGGUGGGCACUAGUUGUGGGAACCUUCCACGGUUUCCGCGACGCAGCAAACGCAUUAAGUGCCCCGCCUGGGGAGUACGAUCGCAAGAUUAAAACUCAAAGGAAUUGACGGGGCCCCGCACAAGCAGCGGAGCAUGCGGCUUAAUUCGACGCAACGCGAAGAACCUUACCAAGGCUUGACAUAUAGUGAAAAGUGGCAGAGAUGUCAUGUCCGCAAGGGCGCUAUACAGGUGGUGCAUGGUUGUCGUCAGCUCGUGUCGUGAGAUGUUGGGUUAAGUCCCGCAACGAGCGCAACCCUCGUUCUGUGUUACCAGCAUUAAGUUGGGGACUCACAGGAGACUGCCGGGGUCAACUCGGAGGAA
RNAcentral lists this ribosomal RNA (1144 nucleotides) under marine metagenome. RNAcentral's name for it is "bacterial SSU rRNA". It matches the Rfam family "Bacterial small subunit ribosomal RNA", at positions 8 to 1171 of the family's 1533-position model. The record is from RNAcentral.